Molecule: ribosomal RNA, 504 nt
Filed under: uncultured bacterium
Lineage: Bacteria
Description: bacterial SSU rRNA
Rfam family: Bacterial small subunit ribosomal RNA
Source: RNAcentral
AACGAACGCUGGCGGCGUGCUUAAGACAUGCAAGUCGAACGGUAAGGCCCCCUUCGGGGGGUACACGAGUGGCGCACGGGUGAGUAACGCGUGGGUAACCUACCUUCGGGUCUGGGACAACUCCGGGAAACUGGAGCUAAUACCGGAUGAGACCACGGAGUCUUCGGACUCUGCGGAAAAAGGCGGCCUCUUCUUGAAAGCCUCCGCCCGUCGAUGAGCCUGCGUACCAUUAGCUUGUUGGUGAGGUAACGGCUCACCAAGGCGACGAUGGUUAGCUGGUCUGAGAGGAUGAUCAGCCACACUGGAACUGAGACACGGUCCAGACUCCUACGGGAGGCAGCAGUCGGGAAUCUUGGGCAAUGGGCGAAAGCCUGACCCAGCAACGCCGCGUGAGGGAUGAAGGCCUUCGGGUCGUAAACCUCUGUCGGGAGGGAAGAACGGCAUCCAUUCGAAUAGGGUGGGUGCGUGACGGUACCUCUAAAGGAAGCGCCGGCUAACUCCGUG